This 2205-nucleotide long non-coding RNA is filed under the name Mus musculus (house mouse). RNAcentral's name for it is "long non-coding RNA chr13:12803180-12805385". Lineage: Eukaryota; Metazoa; Chordata; Mammalia; Rodentia; Muridae. The record is from RNAcentral.
GGUCAAUCCCUUUAAUUGCUGAAGAGUGAAGGAUUUUUUUUUCUUUUUCUUUUUUUUCUGGUUAUUUUCUUUAUUUACAUUUCAAAAGUUAUACACUUUUCCAGUUUCCCUCCCUUCUGGAAACAACCUGUCACACCCACCCUCCCCCUGCUUCUAUGAGGGUGUUCCUCCAACCAUCCACCCACUCCCACCUCCCUGCCCUUGAUUCCCCUACACUCGGACAUCUAUGGAGCCUUUAUAGGACCAAGGAUUAAUGCAUGACAAGGCCAUUCUCUGCUACAUAUGCAAGUGGAGCCAAGUGUUGGUGGCUUAGUCACUGGGAGUUCUGGGGGGGACUUUAGGAUAGCAUUUGAAAUGUAAAUGAAGAAAAUAUCUAAAAAAAUGAAAAAAUAAAUAAAAUUGAAAUUGAUAUGUCCAUACAUGACAAUUCUAUGGAAAAAAAAAAGAAUUAUACCUCAACAUCAGUGAUAGACAUUAUCUCAGCAGAGUAAAGGAUUGAAAAAGAUAUUCCAAGUAAAUGAACCAUAGAAGCAAGCAGGUGUAGCUUCCUUAAUAUCUGGCAAAAAUAGAUAUCAAAAGAGAUGGUGAGAGACAAUUAAAAGGAAGAAUUCACCAAGAUGACUUUUUAAUUCUUGGCAUCUGUGCCACAAAUGCAAGUACACUCAUAUUUGUAAAAGAAACAUUACUAAAAUUUUAAUCACACAAUAAACUCCAUAUAUUAACAGUAGAAGGCUUUGGUACUCUCACUGAUGAACUGGUCAUCCAGAUAAAAACUAAACAAAGAAAUACUGGUGCUAACAAACACUGUGAAUCAAAUUUUGGGGCAGGAGGAGGGUAUGGGGGACUUUUGGGAUAGCAUUGGAAAUGUAAAGGAAGAAAAUACCUAAUAAAAAUAAUAAUAAUAAAAAAAUUACCCAAAUACAAAUGAAUAUACUUUUUUCUCAAACCCUACAAAACCUUCUCAAAAAUUCACUAUAAACCUGGUCACAAAGCAAGUCUCAACAGACACAAGAAAAUUUAAAUAAGCCCUAUCAUCCUAUCAGGCUACUAUUGAUUAAAACUGGAAGUCAACAGAAAUAGACACAACAGAAAGCCUACAAAUUCACGGAAAGUGAACCACAUCCUACAAAAUGACUUCAGGGUCAAAGUGGAAUUAAAGAAAUUAAAGACUUCUUAUAGUUCAUUGAAAAUGAAUGCACAAUAUACUCAAAGUUAUGGGACACAAUGAAAGCAGUACUAAGAGGAAAGUUCAUAGCACUAAAUGUAUUCAUGAAGAAACUGGGGGUGAUCUCAUACUAGCAACUUAAUUAUGAAGCUAAAAACCCUAAAAAAAGAAGUGAACACAUCCAAGAGAUGGCAGAAAAUAAUCAAACUGAGGGUGGGAAUUAAAAAAAAGAACAGAAACAAAGAGAACAAUACAAAAACUCAACGAAAUAAAUAAUUGGUUCUUUAAGAAAAUCAACAAGCAGCUAAAAGAGUCUGAUGUAGAUAUUUGUACCCAACCAAUGGACAGAAGCUGCAGACAACUGUGGUUGAAUUAGAGAAAAGCUGGAAAGAGCUGAGGAGAAGAGGGUGACCUUGUAGGAGGACCAGCAGUCUCAAUUAAUCUGGAUCUCUGAGAUCUCUCAGACACUGGACCACCAACCAGGUGAUAUGAGGCCCCCAACUCAUAUACAUUAGAGGGCUGCUGGGUCUUUGUUCAGUCAGAGAAGAUGUACCUAAUCCUCAAGAGACUGUAGGCCUCAGGGAGUUUAGAGGUCUGGUGGUAUGGAGAUGGGGACAUUCUCAUGGAGACAGGGGUGGGGUGGGGCGUGGGUGAACUAAGAGGGAAUAAAAUGUGGAGUGUAAAAUAGAUAAAUACAAUAAAAUAUUUUUAAAAAAUAAAAUCCACAAGACUGACAGAUUAUUAUGAAAACUAAUUAAAAGGCAGAGAAAAAGUACCAAAAUUGGCAAAAUCAGAAAGGAAAAGUGAGGCAUAACAAUAGACACUGGGUAAAUCCAAAGAAUCAUUUUGUCAUAGUUCAAAAACCUGUACUCUACAAAACUAGAAAAUCUAAAAGAAAUGGUUUAUUUUCUCAAUAGAUACUACUUACCAAAGUUAAAUCAAGACCAGAGAAACAAUUUAAAUAAAGAUAUAACUAUUAAAAAAUGGAAGCAGUAUAAAAAGUCUCCCCCUCAAAAAGAAAAAAAAAAAGAAGAAGAAAG